This 633-nucleotide ribosomal RNA is filed under the name uncultured picoeukaryote. RNAcentral describes it as "bacterial SSU rRNA". It matches the Rfam family "Bacterial small subunit ribosomal RNA", at positions 886 to 1482 of the family's 1533-position model. The record is from RNAcentral.
UCGCAAGAUUGGAACUCAAAGGAAUUGACGGGGGCCUACAACAAGUGGUGGAGCAUGUGGUUUAAUGCGAUAAUCCGCGCAAAACCUUACCAACCCUUGACAUAGAAAAUAAACAAUUUUAGUUUUUUUAAAUCCUUGAAAUUGUUAAGUUUUUUACAGGUGUUGCACGACUGUCGUCAGCUCGUGUCGUAAGAUGUUUGGUUCAUUCCUUUAACGAGCGCAACUCUUGUCUUUAUCACGUAUUUUACUUUUUAAAAUAAUUUUUAUUUUUAAAGCUUUAUAUGACACUAUCAAUGAUAAAUUGAAGGAAGGUGAGAAUCAAGUCAAGUCCCUGUGGCCCUUAUGGGUUGGGCUACACACGUGCUACAAUGGAAAUUACAAUAAGUUACAAAAAUUUUAUUUAAGUUAAUCUUUAAAAGUUUUCUUAGUUCGGAUUACAAACUGCAACUCGUUUGUAUGAAGUUGGAAUCACUAGUAAUCGCAAAUCAGCAUGUUGCGGUGAAUAUGUAUCUUGGCCUUGUACACACCGCCCGUCACAUGCAGAGAGUUAAUUUUACUUGAAGUUUUCGUUUCAAUAUUGAAAAUUUGAUUUUUAAUUUGUUGAAAACCAUUGCGAAAUUAAUAAUUUGGAUG